This 890-nucleotide ribosomal RNA is filed under the name uncultured bacterium. RNAcentral's name for it is "bacterial SSU rRNA". It matches the Rfam family "Bacterial small subunit ribosomal RNA", at positions 488 to 1397 of the family's 1533-position model. The record is from RNAcentral.
AAGCCCGGCUACUACGUGCCAGCAGCCGCGGUAAUACGUAGGGGGCGAGCGUUGUCCGGAUUACUGGGCGUAAAGAGUACGUAGGCGGUUCUGUAAGCGCAUGGUGAAAGGCAUCGGCUAACCAGUGUCAGCCGUGCGAACUGCAGGACUUGAGUGCGGGAGAGGAAAGCGGAAUUCCUGUGUAGCGGUGAAAUGCGUAGAUAUCAGGAGGAACACCGGUGGCGAAGGCGGCUUUCUGGCCGUAACUGACGCUGAGGUACGAAAGCGUGGGGAGCAAACAGGAUUAGAUACCCUGGUAGCCACGCCGUAAACGAUGAGUAUUAGGUGUCGGGUCCGCAGGGAUUCGGUGCCGCAGUUAAGCAAUAAAUACUCCGCCUGGGGAGUACGCACGCAAGUGUAAAACUCAAAGGAAUUGACGGGACCCGCACAAGCAGCGGAGCAUGUGGUUUAAUUCGAAGCAACGCGAAGAACCUUACCAGGCUUGACAUCCUCCCGAAAGACCGGGUAAUGCCGGUCCCUCUGCGGACGGGAGAGACAGGGGUGCAUGGUUGUCGUCAGCUCGUGUCGUGAGAUGUUGGGUUAAGUCCCGCAACGAGCGCACCCUUGUCAUCAGUUACUAACAUUAAGUUGAGGACUCUGAUGAGACUGCCGGGGAGAACCGGAGGAAGGUGGGGAUGACGUCAAAUCAUCAUGCCCCUUAUGUUCUGGGCUACACACGUCUACAAUGGCCGGUACAGAGAGCAGCGAGACCGCGAGGUGGAGCAAAACUGAAAAAACCGUCCCAGUUCGGACUGCAGGCUGAAACCCGCCUGCACGAAGUUGGAGUUGCUAGUAAUCGCGAUCAGAAUGCCGCGGUGAAUGCGUUCCCGGGUCUUGCACACACCGCCCGU